This 671-nucleotide ribosomal RNA is filed under the name Vibrio fluvialis. RNAcentral's name for it is "bacterial SSU rRNA". It matches the Rfam family "Bacterial small subunit ribosomal RNA", at positions 378 to 1041 of the family's 1533-position model. The record is from RNAcentral. Lineage: Bacteria; Pseudomonadati; Pseudomonadota; Gammaproteobacteria; Vibrionales; Vibrionaceae.
CAAGCCUGAUGCAGCCAUGCCGCGUGUAUGAAGAAGGCCUUCGGGUUGUAAAGUACUUUCAGCAGUGAGGAAGGAGGUAUCGUUAAUAGCGGUAUCUUUUGACGUUAGCUGCAGAAGAAGCACCGGCUAACUCCGUGCCAGCAGCCGCGGUAAUACGGAGGGUGCGAGCGUUAAUCGGAAUUACUGGGCGUAAAGCGCAUGCAGGUGGUUUGUUAAGUCAGAUGUGAAAGCCCGGGGCUCAACCUCGGAAUUGCAUUUGAAACUGGCAGGCUAGAGUACUGUAGAGGGGGGUAGAAUUUCAGGUGUAGCGGUGAAAUGCGUAGAGAUCUGAAGGAAUACCGGUGGCGAAGGCGGCCCCCUGGACAGAUACUGACACUCAGAUGCGAAAGCGUGGGGAGCAAACAGGAUUAGAUACCCUGGUAGUCCACGCCGUAAACGAUGUCUACUUGGAGGUUGUGGCCUUGAGCCGUGGCUUUCGGAGCUAACGCGUUAAGUAGACCGCCUGGGGAGUACGGUCGCAAGAUUAAAACUCAAAUGAAUUGACGGGGGCCCGCACAAGCGGUGGAGCAUGUGGUUUAAUUCGAUGCAACGCGAAGAACCUUACCUACUCUUGACAUCCAGAGAACUUAGCAGAGAUGCUUUGGUGCCUUCGGGAACUCUGAGACAGGUGC